Erinaceus europaeus (western European hedgehog) is the source of this 330-nucleotide non-coding RNA. Lineage: Eukaryota; Metazoa; Chordata; Mammalia; Eulipotyphla; Erinaceidae. The record is from Rfam.
GGAUGCGAGGGUAACCUGACAUCUGUCAUCCAAAUGACUGCUAGGGUUGAUUCUGGUGAUCUGGCUGACUAGACAGGUGUCCCCUUCCUCCCUCAUUCCUGCUGUAUAUGUGUCCUUCCCAAAGUACUCAGGUUGAAGAGAAUGACCUUCUCCAAAUAGAGACUGAGCAGUCUUUGUGAAGAGCAUAUGUGUAGCUAUAUUCCUCUGCUAGAACCUCUAAACAAGCUCUCAAAUGUAGCAUACAAUAUUUAUUCAUGAAACAAGGAUGGAGAAUAUUUGUUAAAAAUCAUUCAGUUUUCUCACGACAAUAUAACAAUAUUCAAUCAAUAG